CACCGCCCGUCACACCAUGGGAGUCAGUUGCUCCAGAAGUCAGUGUCCCAACCGCAAGGAGGGAGCUGCCCAAGGAGUGACUGGUAACUGGGGUG
This 95-nucleotide ribosomal RNA is filed under the name uncultured bacterium. Its description in RNAcentral is "partial 16S ribosomal RNA". It matches the Rfam family "Bacterial small subunit ribosomal RNA", at positions 1388 to 1482 of the family's 1533-position model. The record is from RNAcentral.